CUUGCCGUAGGGUCCACAAACUGAGUGAGUGUCGCAGCUAACGCGUUAAGCAGGGCGCCUGGGGAGUACGGCCGCAAGGCUAAAACUCAAAGGAAUUGACGGGGACCCGCACAAGCAGUGGAGCGCCUGGUUUAAUUCGAUGGUCAGCGAAGAACCUCACCUGGGCUUGAACUGUAGCUGCACACCUUGGGAAAACCAGGGGAGCUUUCGAGGGUGCUACAGAGGUGAUGCAUGGCUGUCGUCAGUUCGUGUCGUGAGAUGUAGGGUUAAGUCCCGUAACGAGCGCAAUUCUUAUCUGAUGUUAUAAUUUCUUCAGAGACUGCCCCGUCAUAGCGGGGAGUAAGGAGGGGAUGACGUCCAGUCAGCAUGUCCCUUAUGUCCAGGGCUACACAGACGCUACAAUGGCUAUUACAAUGGGCUGCCAAGCCGCGAGGUGGAGCGAAUCCCAUCAAANAUAGUCUCAGUUCGGAUGCUAGGCUGAAUUUCGCCUGCAUGAAGUCGGNAUUGCUAGUAUUCGCGUAUCAGC
Molecule: ribosomal RNA, 526 nt
Filed under: uncultured organism
Description: bacterial SSU rRNA
Rfam family: Bacterial small subunit ribosomal RNA
Source: RNAcentral